This 483-nucleotide ribosomal RNA is filed under the name uncultured soil bacterium. RNAcentral's name for it is "bacterial SSU rRNA". It matches the Rfam family "Bacterial small subunit ribosomal RNA", at positions 26 to 487 of the family's 1533-position model. The record is from RNAcentral.
AGAUUGAACGCUGGCGGCAGGCCUAACACAUGCAAGUCGAGCGGUAGAGAGGUGCUUGCAUCUCUUGAGAGCGGCGGACGGGUGAGUAAUGCCUAGGAAUCUGCCUAGUGGUGGGGGAUAACGGUUCGGAAACGGACGCUAAUACCGCAUACGUCCUACGGGAGAAAGCGGGGGACCUUCGGGCCUCGCGCCAUUAGAUGAGCCUAGGUCGGAUUAGCUAGUUGGUGAGGUAAUGGCUCACCAAGGCGACGAUCCGUAACUGGUCUGAGAGGAUGAUCAGUCACACUGGAACUGAGACACGGUCCAGACUCCUACGGGAGGCAGCGAGUGGGGAAUAGUUGGACAAUGGGCGAAAGCCUGAUCCAGCCAUGCCGCGUGUGUGAAGAAGGUCUUCGGAUUAGUAAAGCACGUUUAAGUUGGGAAGGGUAAGGGUUAGUUAAACCGUUAAUACGUUGUACGUAACUUUUAGUACGUUAACCGGAC